AUACGGAGGAUGCAAGUGUUAUCCGGAUUUAUUGGGUUUAAAGGGUGCGUAGGCGGUUUGCUAAGCGGGAGGUGAAAUGCCGGCGCUCAACGUCGGAAGUGCCUCCCGAACUGGUGGACUUGAAUGACUCUGCCGUGGGAGGAAUGGGUAGUGUAGCGGGGAAAUGCUUAGAGAUUACACAGAACACCGAUUGCGAAGGCAUCUCACGAAGGGUUGAUUGACGCUGAGGCACGAAAGCGUGGGGAUCAAACAGGAUUAGAUACCCUGGUAGUCCACGCAGUAAACGAUGAUGACUAACCGUCGGCGAUACACAGUCGGUGGCCAAGCGAAAGCGAUAAGUCAUCCACCUGGGGAGUACGUUCGCAAGAAUGAAACUCAAAUGAAUUGACGGGG
This 393-nucleotide ribosomal RNA is filed under the name uncultured bacterium. RNAcentral describes it as "partial 16S ribosomal RNA". It matches the Rfam family "Bacterial small subunit ribosomal RNA", at positions 523 to 918 of the family's 1533-position model. The record is from RNAcentral.